GGCCUUCAGCAAGCAGCUUCCAUGACCGCUUGUGUGGUUGAAGAUGGAAACGAGCCUGAACCGGAACCUGAUUAGGUAUGUAAUCUGUUGUUAUUGCCAUUUUCCUGUUUGUUUGUAACCUCCGUUCUUUUCUCCUCUGGAUUCGGCAACAGCAGUGACGUGUUGUGUGGUCACCCUCUUGGGGACGUUGUCGGGGAGCUCAGGUUCCUUCCGGUUACGGCACGGCGACGUCUUUGGGAGGCUUGGAUCAUUGUUUGAAGCAUCUUCGUGUGUGGCAGUCUCAUCGCCAGUAUUUUGGGAUCUUUCUGCUCGCUGACAUGGUCGACGCUCCACGUCAUGGAGCAAGAGGGCGGAGAGCCUCUUCGGUAACAGUUUGGUGUGGGCAGUGCGGCGAAGUCCGGUGGUUCCUCUACGAGACGCGAGUUCAUUCUUGGUUGGCUUCCGUGGUGCUUUUUUUUUGUGUGUGGUUCAGCCCCUCCAGUGCUCAUCCUCCCGGAUGGUGGCGUCCAAUAGUGCAUCUCUUGCUCAUUGUUUUCCGUUGCUUUCUUUGUUUAUCGGUUUUUAUUUUGAUCGGCUUUGUAAGAGUUUUUUCAACACAUUGUAUCAUUCAGCCAUGUGGCUUUAUAUAUAAAGCAGGACGAAACCAUAUUUCAAGGGUUGCAUGACGAGAUAUAUUCUUUUUACAAUGACAAUAUAGGUUUCGUUGACAUGCUAGAUUGUUGAUGAAUAUGUUUGCUAAUCUACUAAUUAGCCACACUUCCAAGUAUAUUGUUAUUAUGCAAUUUGGACAGCUUGGCGCCCGUGGAUUUCUCCAAGCACACAAAAUAGUGUUCAGCGAAAUGCUUGUGAGACUGUGAAGAAUAGCUUUUUGUUUUUGGUCGUUUUCACUAUGCCGUCGUACCCACGGUAGUGUUGAAGUCCGUCUUUGUAUCUUUCAGCAACUCUGCUACAUUUAAAUUU
This 960-nucleotide long non-coding RNA is filed under the name Triticum aestivum (bread wheat). RNAcentral's name for it is "long non-coding RNA (TAES_LNC005783)". Lineage: Eukaryota; Viridiplantae; Streptophyta; Magnoliopsida; Poales; Poaceae. The record is from RNAcentral.